GGGAGGGGGAGAAGGAGGCAGUGGAGGAAGCCUGGGUCACUUCAGGCCAACUUGUCUCACAGGAACAGGUAUCUGAUGUAAAGUGCAUAUUCAUUUUCAUUGAAUACAUGAAACAAACUGGUGGAAAUUAUUCAUCAAGGCUUCCAUGUCUGAACUGCCACCCUCUGCACCCUGUUUCCGGGUCUUUUAU
Molecule: long non-coding RNA, 190 nt
Organism: Pleuronectes platessa (European plaice)
Lineage: Eukaryota; Metazoa; Chordata; Actinopteri; Pleuronectiformes; Pleuronectidae
Exons: 3
Source: RefSeq, a predicted model, not a curated record